GGCUCACCUCGCUCCCAUUGGUUCCGGCCAGGCUGUUACUGAGGCGGAGACACGGGUGAUGAUUGGCUUUCUGGGGAGAGAGGAAGUCCUGUGAUUGGCCAGAUCUCUGGAGCUCGCCGACGCGGUGUGAGGACGCUCCCACGGAGGCCGGAAUUGGCUGUGAAAGGACUGAGGCAGCCAUCUGGGGGUAGCGGGCACUCUUAUCAGAGCGGCUGGAGCCGGACCAUCGUCCCAGAGAGCUGGGGCAGGGGGCCGUGCCCAAUCUCCAGGGCUCCUGGGGCCACUGCUGACCUGGCUGGAUGCAUCGGGCAGUGGACCCUCCAGGGGCCCGCGCUGCACGGGAAGCCUUUGCCCUUGGGGGCCUGAGCUGUGCUGGGGCCUGGAGCUCCUGCCCGCCUCAUCCCCCUCCUCGUAGCGCAUGGCUGCCUGGAGGCAGAUGCUCAGCCAGCAUUGGGCAGCCCCCGCUUCCUGCUCCCCUACCCCCUUCACAUGGCAGUAGUUCUGGGCACCCCAACAAACCAUAUUAUGCUCCAGGGGCGCCCACUCCAAGACCCCUCCAUGGGAAGCUGGAAUCCCUGCAUGGCUGUGUGCAGGCAUUGCUCCGGGAGCCAGCCCAGCCAGGGCUUUGGGAACAGCUUGGGCAACUGUACGAGUCAGAGCACGAUAGUGAGGAGGCCACACGCUGCUACCACAGCGCCCUUCGAUACGGAGGAAGCUUCGCUGAGCUGGGGCCCCGCAUUGGUCGACUGCAGCAGGU
This 757-nucleotide long non-coding RNA is filed under the name Pan troglodytes (chimpanzee). RNAcentral's name for it is "long non-coding RNA NONPTRT006665". The record is from RNAcentral. Lineage: Eukaryota; Metazoa; Chordata; Mammalia; Primates; Hominidae.